UAUUUAGUAAACGAAUGAACAAUAUGUGAAACGAUCAUCGAUCGAAUUCAUCAUACUUCUAUAUAUAAGAAGAUAUUGUAUAAUAAUAUAUAAUAAAUUUAAUGUACCUAGGUCAUUGGGCACACAAAAAUGCAGAUGCUGAGUGGACUGAGUGGAGUGGAAAGCGUUAGGAAUGUUCCAUCGCAUAGUAUACCUGUAGACGGCAAUUAAUCGGAAGAAUGUGCGCCGUAGAGAUUAAAUGGAAGCAAAGGUACAAUUUAUUUUAAAAGCACUAAACCUAGUAAUUA
This is a long non-coding RNA of Aphis gossypii (cotton aphid), 287 nucleotides long. RefSeq lists it as uncharacterized. The transcript is spliced from 3 exons. The record is from RefSeq and is a predicted model, not a curated record. Lineage: Eukaryota; Metazoa; Arthropoda; Insecta; Hemiptera; Aphididae.